UAACAAGGUUUCCGUAGGUGAACCUGCGGAAGGAUCAUUAACGAAGACUCGCUCUUCUACACCCUGUGAACCGUCGCCCUCGGGCGCUAUACAAACUCUGUCGUCUUAGCAUGUAUUAUCAUAACAAUUAUAACUUUCAGCAACGGAUCUCUUGGCUCUCGCAUCGAUGAAGAACGCAGCGAAAUGCGAUAAGUAAUGUGAAUUGCAGAAUUCAGUGAAUCAUCGAAUCUUUGAACGCACCUUGCGCUCUCUGGUAUUCCGGAGAGCAUGCCUGUUUGAGCGCCUUUAUAACCUGCGGUCUCCGCGACUUGGGUGUUGCCUGCAAAGGCUCGCCCUGAAUGCAUUAGCGAUUGAAGCUCGAACCGACGUUACAAGUUUGCGUUGGCGAAAGCGGAAGUUGCUUCCAAUCGUCCUCGGACAAUUCCAAUGCCAGGCAUCAAAUCAGGUAGGACUACCCGCUGAACUUAAGCAUAUCA
Molecule: small RNA, 476 nt
Filed under: Dacrymyces citrinus
Lineage: Eukaryota; Fungi; Basidiomycota; Dacrymycetes; Dacrymycetales; Dacrymycetaceae
Description: eukaryotic LSU rRNA
Rfam family: 5.8S ribosomal RNA (bases 132-285)
Source: RNAcentral